This 432-nucleotide ribosomal RNA is filed under the name uncultured bacterium. RNAcentral's name for it is "partial 16S ribosomal RNA". It matches the Rfam family "Bacterial small subunit ribosomal RNA", at positions 29 to 506 of the family's 1533-position model. The record is from RNAcentral.
AACGAACGCUGGCGGCAGGCUUAACACAUGCAAGUCGAGCGAGACCUUCGGGUCUAGCGGCGGACGGGUGAGUAACGCGUGGGAACGUGCCCUUCUCUACGGAAUAGCCCCGGGAAACUGGGAGUAAUACCGUAUACGCCCUUUGGGGGAAAGAUUUAUCGGAGAAGGAUCGGCCCGCGUUGGAUUAGGUAGUUGGUGGGGUAAUGGCCCACCAAGCCGACGAUCCAUAGCUGGUUUGAGAGGAUGAUCAGCCACACUGGGACUGAGACACGGCCCAGACUCCUACGGGAGGCAGCAGUGGGGAAUCUUAGACAAUGGGGGCAACCCUGAUCUAGCCAUGCCGCGUGAGUGAUGAAGGCCUUAGGGUUGUAAAGCUCUUUCAGCUGGGAAGAUAAUGACGGUACUAGCAGAAGAAGCCCCGGCUAACUCCGU